AUAAAUUAUCUUCUAAGUUAUAUCUGUUCUUAUCAGUUUAAUAUCUGAUGUGUCCUUUAUUUGAGGACUGUAUAUGAAAUUUAUUUUUGAAACAGGGGGAUGGAAUAGGAGCUUGCUCUGUCCACCCCAGGCAUAGACCUGGUAUUGCGGUGUCUCUAGGAAUGGUGCAGCUCCU
RNAcentral lists this small nuclear RNA (175 nucleotides) under Chelydra serpentina (North American snapping turtle). RNAcentral's name for it is "U2 spliceosomal RNA (ENSCSRG00000019586.1)". It matches the Rfam family "U2 spliceosomal RNA". From Rfam's summary of the family: U2 is a small nuclear RNA (snRNA) component of the spliceosome (involved in pre-mRNA splicing). Complementary binding between U2 snRNA (in an area lying towards the 5' end but 3' to hairpin I) and the branchpoint sequence (BPS) of the intron results the bulging out of an unpaired adenosine, on the BPS, which initiates a nucleophilic attack at the intronic 5' splice site, thus starting the first of two transesterification reactions that mediate splicing. The record is from Rfam by way of RNAcentral. Lineage: Eukaryota; Metazoa; Chordata; Testudines; Chelydridae.